RNAcentral lists this ribosomal RNA (168 nucleotides) under Helicobacter pylori. RNAcentral's name for it is "partial 23S ribosomal RNA". It matches the Rfam family "Bacterial large subunit ribosomal RNA", at positions 1931 to 2098 of the family's 2925-position model. The record is from RNAcentral. Lineage: Bacteria; Pseudomonadati; Campylobacterota; Epsilonproteobacteria; Campylobacterales; Helicobacteraceae.
CGGCCGUAACUAUAACGGUCCUAAGGUAGCGAAAUUCCUUGUCGGUUAAAUACCGACCUGCAUGAAUGGCGUAACGAGAUGGGAGCUGUCUCAACCAGAGAUUCAGUGAAAUUGUAGUGGAGGUGAAAAUUCCUCCUACCCGCGGCAAGACGGAGAGACCCCGUGGAC